Non-coding RNA from Paramuricea clavata, 215 nucleotides. The record is from the annotation of a GenBank genome assembly. Lineage: Eukaryota; Metazoa; Cnidaria; Anthozoa; Malacalcyonacea; Plexauridae.
UACAAAGUGUUAUUUUCUGCUGGCUGAGGUACGAAAGAAGCAGAAAAUGUUUUCUCACACAAGGCUGGGAGCCCGAUUGUGAAUCGGGUGUGUUCGGGUGGUGCAGGUUAAGACAGCACAUGUUGUUGUUGCUUUCGCAACGCUUGACAUAACUCCCCACCCGCCCGCCCGUUAAUUAUAGUCAGCUUGUUAGAUGCAGUGGACGUUUAUAUAAC